CCUCUUGUUUCAGGAGUGUUUCCAACUCUGAGUUGUCGAAUAGGUCCGUAUUUCCCAAAAAUAUCAUACAUUUCCUCCGCUGUGAUUUCAUACGGCAGGUUCCGAAUAUAAAGGACCCGAUUGACCUCUGGGGGCAGCCAGAUGUCAGCUCGCUUGGCCGCUUGCAUCGCCAUGGCGCCGAUCGGAGGGGGGGGGGGGGGGGGGGGUGUGUGUGCCGCCUCGGAGAGAAACCGCGGCCGGGAAGGGGCCUGCCGGGCCGCACGCCGCCGCUCGCCGCUGCCGCGGGGGUCCCGGACGCUAUCCCAUACGCUAAUAACCCGGACUAAACAAAUUCCACCAUGCUGAAUAUUCAAGAUCUCAGUGGCUAUUUACAAAGUGCUCAUAUAUCAGGGCACAGGAGACCUGAAUGACUGUCUAAGCUCCUUGUGCACUACUUUGGGAGCCAAAGGCUACCAUUUUGGCUGCCCUUAACAGUGAAAAGCAGAAAUGUCUGAAGAACAGGGGCAGCUUUUCAGGACAGCAGGAUAAGCAUGAGCGGCUAUGAGUGCACAAGGUGGGCCAGUGAAACCUGAUGGCCCUGCUGCUUGGCAGGGUAGAGGACAGAGCCCUGGGAUGUGACAGCUCCAGCUGAGACUUUCUACGAGAGGCAGAAAGCAGCCAGCAUCCCUGAAGUUGCUUUACCAUGAUGAGGGAACUUUAACUGGUUGUUGUAAUUUGUGAAAGCGAUGGGUAGAUCACCUGCGCUCACAGCCCGAUGGAAAUGGGUGAAAUGAAACUAUGAGUAGCCCAUCCUUCAGUCUCCUGCUUCAGGGAGAUUUUGACAUCAUUCAGUCUCAAGGUGUUGAUAUACAAGUAAACGUGCUCAAAGACUGAAGGCAGAUAAAACUGAGCACCAAAAUUUAGUAUCAAAUAAAUCCUCUUCCGAUCCAGCAUAUGACAUAGGUGAACAGGAAUCACAAAGACAAAGUUUAAGAGGCUGUUUCCUUCUGUUUCAUAUUGGACUUUGCAGCUGGCAGUUGUAAAGGAAAAAUUGCUGUGAUCCAUUGCACAUAUACAAUGUUUUCUUCACAGUGGCAAGCCAGUGAUUUAUGAGACACCAAGCAAAAAUCUAGUGGUCGUGCUGGGGAGAAACAAUGUGGUCUGGAAACAAGCUUCAGUGCCUUGCAGGUUUUAAGGAAAAUAAGUCUAGUUGAAAGCUGCUUCAGGAAUUCAUUCCCAAGGAUGCUUUUGAGUGGCACUGUGGUGGAUAAGGAAACAGUAGACAGCAAUACCUAGCAGGAACCAAGAAUCUGAAAGACCUAGAGAAGUUUCCAUCCAACUGGAAGUCCUGAAGCAAGUCAAGUACUUGGUCAUCCUGUCUAGAGGAGCAGAGCAGGAACCGAUGGACCAUGCUGGGACUUCCUGGGACUAUAAAGCAAUCAGUUGUCAAGAGGCUUUUCAUCCGUUAUUAUCUCAUGAACUCCAGAAAGUUAAAGAAGGCAAGAAUCCUGGGUUACUCUUUUCCAGCAGUGAAAAUACAAGAUGUUACUGAAAAAUGUUUUCUUUUUUUAAAUGUAAAUUGGUAACUCCACUGAUGAUGAUACACACUAUAAUUAAUAUUGUUCUGUUGGAAUAUCCACACGUUACAGGAGGCUUUAAGGACUUUGGAAGAGACAAGGAAAGUCUUGGUAGCCUUCUACGGAUCAUUUAAUGUUGUGUAUAAGAACAGGUUAAGAUAUAAAAUAUUACAGUUGAACUAAGUCGAUGCCAAGUGAUGGUGAAAAUAUCAAACUUGACAGCUACUAGAGCACAAAUGGGAUGAGUUUCAUCCAUAGCUUGUCUCCACACAGCUAAAUUCUUCUCUCUAUAUGAAAAUAUAAAAGGUUGCUAAAGUAUGAAAUAAGGGUACUAGUAAAAUGAAAUCCAGGAGAAUAGCAGAAUAGAAGUAAAUAAAAGUAAACAUGCAUAACUUUCAAAGUGGAGAAAAAAAGAAUCUUAGGAGCCUUUCUGUCAAGGCUCUGAGGUAGUUAUUGAAGAGAUUACAUUGAUAUAGUUGGCAUUUUUGACAUGCUGGUAUGGAUUGUCUUGGGCUGUAGCAAGAACAGAAGGGAUAAAGCUGGCAGGUAGUGUGGGAGUGACACCUCAAAGAAACCCAUCGCUCCAUUCUGAGUUUUUAAUUUAGUGAUCAAGGGUAUUAACUUCACACAGAUCAGUGAUCUGAUUGAACUUAAGAGAGGAUUUUAGUAAUGAUAUGUUUUAGGCCAUGGAAUGGAGCUGGAAAACAAGAGGAGACUUUGCUUAAAGCACAGCUAAAAUUAAGCUACAGGUUAUUCAGUAUAAGAGACAAAGGCUGAGGGUUACAGUUAUGAAUACAAAAAUAAUAGUCUAUAACUUGUAGAGGCACUGCUAGAAAUAUACAACCACUUUUCUAUUUCAGAUAAAAAUUAAGUUUGGAGGGGGGUGCGUGUUCUAAGGACUUUAAAUAGUGAAAACAAAUGCUGCCUAGUAGGUUAUACCACUUCUUUCAAGUAGGCAAUUUGUCCAGAUCAGAGAGAAAUUACAAAAACAAUAGAUGAGGAAUUAAAUUAGAUGAAAAAAAUAUUAUUAUUAAUUAAAAAACAUUUUUCAAUGUUUUAGUUGAAGGACUGAAACUUCAACUAUCAAAGGUGACAAUAAUUUUGCUAAAAACAUAUCACACCUAAGUUCAAUGGUGAGGAAUGCAAAAAAAAGAUAACAAAUAGCAACAAAGGAACAAAAUAGAAAACAGUCAUAGCCUCCAAGUUAUAUUGAUUUUUGAAUUGCAGAAAAUGGGCUAGGUAAUUUAAAACACCACAGGUAACUUAAAACAAAUUUUAAAUAUAUUUGAGACAUACCAUCAUAUGUUACGCUUACAUAACAUAGAAAACAAAAUUCUUAAUGUUUGCUUAAGUGUUUAGUACCUAUGUCUAUUCUGUAAUUAAACAAGAUCUUAUUCUUUAUGAUAUAAGGAUGAUGAAAGACAUUAAAUUCAUCUAGUAAGAUUAAUAUUAUCAUAGAAUCAUUUAGGUUGGAAAAGACCUUUAACACCAAGUCCAACUGUAAACCCAGCACUGCCAAGCCCACCACUAAACCAUGUCCCUAAGAAUGACAUCUACAUGUCUUUUAAAUACCUCCAGAAACAGUGAAUCCACCACAUCCCUGGGCAGCCUGGUCCAGCGCUUCACAACCCUUUCAGUGAAGACAUUUUUCUUAAUACCCAAUCUAAAUCUCCCCUGGUGCAACCUGAGGCCGUUUCCUCUUGUCCUGUUGCUUGUUAUCUGGGAGAAGAGCCCAACCCCCCCUGGCUCCAGACCCCUUUCAGGGGGUUGUAGGGAGCAAGAAGGUCUCCCCUCAGCCCCCCCCCCUCUCCAGGCUGACCCCCCCAACUCCCCCAGCCGCUCCCCACAGCACUUGUGCCCCAGCCCCUUCCCCAGCCCCCUGCCCGGCUCUGGACACGCUCCAGCCCCUCAGGGUCUCUCUGGGAGCGAGGGGCCCAGAGCCCAACGUGUCAUUUGAGGGGUGGCCUCACCAGAGCUGAGGGCAGGGGGAUGGUCACUGCCAUGGUCCCACUGGCCACACCAUUGCUGACACAAGCCAGGAUGCUGUUGGCCUCCUUGGCCACCUGGGCAUACUGCUGGCUCAUGCCCAGCUGGCUGUUGACCAGCACCACCAGGUCCUUUCCCACCAGGCAGUUCCUAGCCACUCUGCCCCCAACCCGCAGCACUGUGUGGGGUUGGUGUGACCCAAGGGCAGGACCCGGCACUGAGCCUUGUUGAAUGUCAUACAAUUGGCCUCGUCCCAUCGGUCCAGCCUUUUCUAUUCUAAAGAAGAUUUAAAACUAAUUCAGGACAUGAAUGGUAAGAUAGAAUUAAAUAAAUGGGCGCAUUUGGCUGAUGGCUGUAUAGUAGUACUUGUAGAAGAAUGGCGGCAGAAGUGUGGCCACGGAACCCCUGAGGGUCUGCACAAUCCAGGCCUGGAGUGCACAAUCCAGGCCUGAAAUUAGAAGUGUACUGGAAUUAGAAUUGUGCUGAAGUUAUUGUGCUGAAGUUAACAAGAAAGUGGCCUUGAUCUGUUCUUGAAUCCUAAGACCAAGUAACCUUAUUGUACUAACAGGCCGUGGCUGUAACAAGCUGCAGCUUUUAGGGAGGACAUGUGUAAGGCCAAGGGAGAUAGAGAACGGAAUGUAGAUAGAGGGAGUAACAAACCGCAAGGCUAAAACAUAGCUAACGCAAAUAGCUGCAUGGAAAAAAUGCUUGUUCCAAUCAUGAUAUUUAGUGGUGUGUGAGCAGCACGUGCUUACGGGCUAAUAACCAAUUAUAUGUUUGCUUUGGGAGCAUGCUUAUGUAUUGAGGCUAUAUAAGAAGUGUUAGAAGCCAAUAAAGAUGAGCAAGAUGCAUAACUCAUAUUGAGUAAUUUCCCGACUCCGGCGGACCCCUCUCCCAACAACUGGCGCCCGAACGAUGGGAACACGGAAAACUCUGCCUUUGCAUUGCAAAUUGGGAGAUGCUAGAGAGGAGUCCGAGCAGGAAGGCGCCCGUAGAAGGGAAGGCGUCUGAAUCCGGCAUUGAGCUCCUGCACGGACCUGCACCGGUAAGACCGUUUUUCCCUCGAUAAUGGAAACGGAGGCGGCACUCACGCUUUCAUCUGAGAUUCUUGCUAAGCGAGAGGCUAGCGUGAGCACAAAGAAGCUCCAAGAGCUAUGCAGGUGGGCGAAGGAAAAAGGACACCUAAAAGACCCACAAUUGAUGUUUAGUGUGACUGAGUGGCGAGAGAUUGGGGAUUCCCUUUGGGAUGCGACCCUUAGCAGCAGCAAGUCAGCCAAGGACUUGGGACCAACCUGGUGGGAGGUCAUGAACCAUUUACAGUCAAUGGUUGCGGAGAAAAAGAUGGCUAUAGCUGCUUCAGAGCCCCUUGAUCGGGAAACCGAGUCGAUGGAGUCUACCCGAUUAUUUGGUCAAGGCGUUUCGUCUGUGAAAGGCAUAGUUGUGCCUAUUAAAAAAUCUGUGACAGAGCUAUUACACCCGACACUGGAGGGUGCUGCCGCAACGGCAUUUCUAUAAGACAUACAGGAUACCAUAAUUUUGUUAGAUGGUUUAUUCCGUGGUUAGGAGUUAGUGAAUUAGAGAAAAGAGUGGUAAACAUGUCUGCAGAAACCGAACAAAUGUUUAAUCUAACAACAGACGCGAUAAACAGGUUGAACCAGGAAGUGAAAUCUUUAAGUAAGGUAGUAAUCCAGAUAGAAUGGCCCUUGACUUAAUAACCUUAAAAGAAGGUGGAGUAUGCACAAUGAUAAAUCAGAGUUGUUGUGUAUACGUAGACCAAAGUAAUCAAAAUGAAACAGACAUCCAUAAGAUAUGGAACAGGUUUCAGAUUUUACAUGAAAUUACUAAAGAUGAUGGAAUUUUAAGGCUAUAUGGGACAAAUUAACUUCGUGGUUACCUAAUCUGGAAUGGUUAAAGCAUGCUUUUGUUAUAAUACUCAUUCUAAUAAUUUUAGGAAUGCUAAUAUGGGUAUUACUUCAGUGUUUUGUUUGGUGCUGUCAAAGAGUGAUACUAGGGCAUAGUGAUUUUUUUAUAGUUGUAAAAGCAUUUACAAUAGUUAUUAGAAAAGAGGGGAAUGGAUAAUGGGCCAUAUAUGAUUUAUUUAAAGAACGUGUGCUCAUGUUUAUCUGAGGAGAUCCUUAUUGAUAACUUGAGGAUGUACUAAGUGACAUUGGGAGUGUGCUAAUAUCCAGGCAUGAGAUAUGUUAAUAUUGUUAACUUGAAGAUGCACUAAAUCCUUGAAUGAGAAUGUGCUAAUUGUCCAGGUGCAAGAUAUGUUAAUGAGUUCCCAUGUUAAUGAGUUCCCGGAAAGU
This is a long non-coding RNA of Falco peregrinus (peregrine falcon), 5851 nucleotides long. RefSeq lists it as uncharacterized. The record is from RefSeq and is a predicted model, not a curated record. Lineage: Eukaryota; Metazoa; Chordata; Aves; Falconiformes; Falconidae. The transcript has 4 exons.